UCGAUUGAGUUUGAUCAUGGCUCAGGACAAACGCUGGCGGCGUACCUAAGACAUGCAAGUCGAACGGUUCUUUUCGCUUCGGCGGGAGGGAUAGUGGCGGAUGGGUGAGUAACGCGUAGGAACCUGUCGCACAGUGGGGGAUACCGCUGGGAAACCGGCGCUAAUACCGCAUGUGGUUCUCUGAGUAGAUCAGAGAAAGAAAGCACGCAAGUGCGCUGAGUGAGGGGCCUGCGUCCGAUUAGCUAGGUUGGUGGGGUAAAGGCCUACCAAGGCGACGAUCGGUAGCUGGUCUGAGAGGACGGUCAGCCACACUGGGACUGAGACACGGCCCAGACUCCUACGGGAGGCAGCAGUUAGGAAAUUUUUGCAAUGGGGGAAACCCUGACAGAGUAACGCCGCGUGGAGGAUGACGGCCUUCGGGUUGUAAACUCCUUUUCUGUGGGAAGAGUAGAAGACGGUACCGCAGGAAGAAGCCUCGGCUAACUACGUGCCAGCAGCCGCGGUAAUACGUAGGAGGCGAGCGUUGUCCGGAAUUACUGGGCGUAAAGAGCGCGUAGGCGGCGCUGUACGACACGGGUGAAAGCCCCCGGCUCAACUGGGGAGGGUCCCGUGUAACGGCAGUGCUACGAGUGCAGGAGAGGGAAGUGGNAACUCCGGGAGUAGCGGUGAAAUGCGUAGAGACCCGG
This 686-nucleotide ribosomal RNA is filed under the name uncultured bacterium. RNAcentral's name for it is "bacterial SSU rRNA". It matches the Rfam family "Bacterial small subunit ribosomal RNA", at positions 1 to 701 of the family's 1533-position model. The record is from RNAcentral.